UGUGUGUGUGUGUGUGUGUGUGUGUGUGUGUGUGUGUGUGUGUGUGUGUGUGUGUGUGUGUGUGUGUGUGUGUGUGUGUGUGUGUGUGUGUGUGUGUGUGUGUGUGUGUGUGUGUGUGUGUGUGUGUGUGUGUGUGUGUGUGUGUGUGUGUGUGUGUGUGUGUGUGUGUGUGUGUGUGUGUGUGUGUGGUUGCUAUCUUCUCUCUCUCUCUCUCUCUCUCUCUCUCUCUCUCUCUCUCUCUCUCUCUCCAUGGGUCGAGAAACGCGCUUCAUCGAUUCACGAUGGAACGGUUUAUGGUGACCGAUCGAUGGUUGGAUUCUGAUGCUCGUUUCCCUGUAAUUGGAUUUAAGAGAAGAGUUUGAAGGAAGGAAAGUGUGGGAAGAAUACGGUUGGAUAAGUGUUUGUGAAUGGGAAUGCGCGUAACAAGUGAAGUUUAAAUUGUUCGAUCGUUGAAAUCGAUUAAUAAUAAGAUCGCUUCUCUCGUACGUUCCGUGUAAAAUAAAAAUUUGAUUGAGAAAAAUGGAAGGAGUGUCUUGGUGUCGCGCGAGAAGGGCAAGAGAGAGGGUUCCCUCUCGCGGGAGAAGCUCGAAAGGAAGUUCAAUAUAAGCACAGUAUCAAUUGCACGUUGUCAUCCUAUCUAACACGCGUUUGCACAGUGUCUGAUGAGCCCCUCCGUCGUGUUCAUUCCGAAUCAAACGCGAUGUACGCUCCGGAUAAAUUCCAGCCUGUUAUCGAGCUAAACAGUUGUUUAGUCUUGUCUCGAAGGGAGGCGAUAAACGCGUUGUCGAGACCGACACCCGACACCCGCAUUCCUCAUCGAUUCUUCCUCCCACGAAUCUCGUGCGCCUCCAAUUUACAAUCUUGUGUAUAUAUCUAAGUGCAUACAAAUGUCGGGCAAUUUCCAAGGUCUGAUCGAUUAAUUUUCCUAUUCCCGGGUCGUAGAGACAGAUUUUCAACAUGCAUCACGAAACCACGGUUCGUAAAGAUUCGAUUAUUUCUAUAAAUAAAGGGAACGAGCUUCUUUAAAGAGAAAGCUCGAGGGCUUUCGAACGAGAACCACUUCAGAAUUGAUCUUGCAACCGUCGUUUAACCGCUUUCCAACCACGAAGAUAUUCCGCGAUGUAGUUUAUGCGAGAGCGAACGUUGCACGAGCGAUUGAAAUAAAGAUCGAUUCGAAUUUACGCUCGCUAUAUAUAUAUAUAAUAGUAUAUUUUGAGGACAGGAUUAAUAACUCGUCAUAAUAAACAAACUCGCGAGUCACUCGACGUCGCGUGAAUGUUCGUUUCGUGGAAUUUCUCCUUGCGCUGUGUAUAUAAACACAUACCGUAUACGAUGUUUUGGAACACUUCGUUCGUAACCGCGAAGCUAUUAACACGCUUCGCGACGGUAACUGCGUUCCAAUAUUCUUUCUACGCGACGUUUCUUCAUAUAUAUUUUCACGCGGAUGGCAAAAGUGCGUUUCAUUUUUAUUAUUCGCGCGAAUAAAGUGGCACGCGCUCCAUUAUUUUUUUUGUAUAAAAAUUGCCAAUAUUAAAAUAAAAUAUCGGUAAAAGUAUAAUAAUAUCGAUUGUAUCAAAGUCCAUUGACGCAUGGAUAUCGUCGGUGUACGAAGUAACUCUACGAUUCGCACGACAUAUGAAAAGCGGUGGCGUAAAAAGGAACUAAAGUCAGAGUUGGGCAUGAACCGGUUGGAAAAGUAACGAAGUUAAAAACAACAUUUAUUUAUUCGUACCUAUUAUACAUCGAUCCGUUUCGCCACAAUUAUCCGCGAUUAUUAUUACGUUUUGAAGAACGUAUCAUCGAAAUAACUUAUCCAAGUAACUUCAACUAUUAAAUUUUCUCCAUCGUACGACUGUAAGAAUCAACUGUCACUACGUAUAUCUUCCGUAUAAAGAAUUUACGCAUGGUCGAAAGAAGAUUAUCGGAGAAAAGAGAUUUUCCAUUUUUCCAUUCGAUCGAUAUCCUUCCGUGCGGAAUUCAAACCACACGAUUCGAUCGAUUUACCUGGUCGUUUUUCUUCCCGCAAAGUACGACCUACUUUCGAUACCCGCGAAUCAAUUGCGCUUCAACGACACGAAGAAUCCUGGUGAAUCCUGAAGGACGUAUCGACAGGACACGGCCGAUCUUUCUGGUUAAUUAUUAUAUCUGUCUCGAUCGUGGACGCGAUCCUGUCAGUUCCACGCUUCUCUCUUUCCAUCCCUAUCUAUAUUAAUUCUCUAUACUUGGAAAAAUGAGAUUGGAAAAGCGAGAAGAUUCGAGCUUAAGGGGUACGGAGUCGAGGGCCGAAUUGGGUCGAGAGUUACGGCUAAUUGUUUAAUCUUGAGGGCGGGUGAAUCUGACGCUCGAGAGACACGAGAUGUGUUUAAAUAUUGGUUUGAUCGGAAUAGAUCAAGUUGUUUAAAUCGUGUCGCGCGCAAAUGAGGAAAAAUUACGACUUCGCGGAGGAAGAGAAGGAGGAGGAGGAGGAAAUAGUUUUUAUUCUCGGAACAAAUUUUCUCUCUUUUCCCCCCUCCCUUAGAGCCUCUGGGAGGGUAAUAUCUUCUCUUGUGCAGGGGAUGGGCAAAUUAGGUUAAUUUUUUCGCGCUACCAGGUAAAAAAAAAAAAUACCUGGAUAGAAUUUUAUUAAAAAACCAAGUGGUUUCUCCACGUACAUCGUAAUUAAUUAUCGAUAGCACGCGGAAUAAUGGAUAUUCGAUGCGCGUGCAUACGAGAUAAAUCCCCACCCCCCUCCAGCAUUAUUCCUACAUUUUCAGAAUAUCUAUUUCAAUUCGUAGAUAUUUCACGAUACUUGCAAUAUCGAAUUUGAAAUUUCGACAGUUGUUAUUGGAGAGGAGCGUUCAUUUAAAAUAUGAGCCGGGGAUUUCGGGCGUGUCCUUGGAGCGUUCGUAGCCUUAAUUAGUUCCCGCUUAAUCUUGCAUGGGAACGCGGGCGUGCGAAAACCGAUUUAAAAUCGGCGCCCCGAUUUUAUUAACACGGAAAAACUGAUUCGACUCUCUCUCUCUACGCGCGAACGAACUUUUCCUCGAGAGGAGAGGAGAAAUUUUGAAAAUGGAACAAUUAUUCUCGGACAAUUGUCAUCGAAAGUGUUGCAACGAUGUAACACGCUUGGAAGAGUGUUCUCACUCGGAUCGACACCUGUACAAACAAUUCUAUGUUUGUCCCCGUGUUAUCUACCCUAAAUCCGCUUCCCCUUCGCCUCGACUUUUAUCGGUACGUAAAAAUUAACGAAAUAAUUGAAACUUUCUCUCUUUCUCCAUCGAAUUAAUUCUCCUAUUUUAUUGUCCCAGUUUGUACGUAUACAGUAACAAUCGACAGUAACGACAAUCGAUGCUCACCAGCGGUGCUUUUUAAACAGUUUUAAGCGAGGAGUCGCCCGUUUCAGGAACCCGUUUCCGUUAUCGUACGUAUGCAUAUUCAUUAGCAUAUUCUCUCCCUCUCUCUCUUUCUCUCUCUUCCACCGAGAGAACUUUCAAACCAAUUUUAUUUUUAUUCUGUUUUUACACUUAUAAUUCUUGCUGUUAGAAGAUAUCCAUUAUCACAAAUCUCGCAGUGUCCAGCAGGACUCGGAUGACGAAGAGAUUCGAAUGCUUUGCGAACGAUUGAAACAAGGAUUUGGAAUAUUUUUAAACACGAUACGAUAAAUAUUUUCGAUUAAAAACAGAUAUUCGGUGGACGAAUAUUUAUUUAUUUGGAAAAUUAUCCAACUUAUCUUCCAUCGGAGAGGAGGGAACGAAUCCACUUUGUGAUUAAAACUGAUUAAAACCGUAUAUUCCCGGAGAAAUUGCGAAAAGAGAGAGAGGGGGGUGGUGUCAUCGUGGCGAUUGUAGGGCAGCCAAGGCACACGUCCCUCCUGGGACGUUCAUCCUCCCUGCAAAGGGGGUCUACCUGUGAAUCCGUCCUGACGUGCAAAAAAAAAAAAAAUCUAAUACGCCAGACGCCUUCUCGGGCCUCGGGCGACGUUGCCCUACAUUCCCCCGCACGAAAAACUUUUUCCACCACCGUGGACGGCCGUGGAUGGAGGAUACAUUCGAUGAAGCUUUUAGGCCGCCAUUUGUAUCGAAAAAGUCAUCGAUACAAAUAUAUAUAUGUAUGUAUAUAUAUAUACAAAUAUAUAUAUGUAUGUAUGUGUGUGUGUGUGUGUGUAUAUUUAUAAUUCCUCGUAUCUCGACGUUUCGAACACUCCAACCCCGUUUUUUUUUUUUUUUUUAAUUUUAAUUUUCGCGAAGUAGCAGUAAAAAAAAAUAGUAGCACUCUCGCGUAUAGUUAUCAUACAAGUUAUUUGAGUUAUAUAUUCAAAUAUUUUCCAAAUCGAUUUUUUUUUUUUUUAAAUAUAAGAGGAGAAUAUAUUCGAAAAUAAAAAAGGGAGAUUUUUUCGAACAAUUUCGAAUUAUCUCGUAUGCUUUAUAUCUCUGUUUUAUUAAGGGGGAUCGAUGAAUCAUCGAUUCGAGUCGAACGAAAUUUUUCACCCCCCUGGUGAGAUAGUUUCGAAGUUUCCUUCCUACCUUCCGCCCGGAUUUGUUCGAUAUUCCAGGGUGAAAAAGAGUGGACGCGAUUCCGGUCGACGUUGAUCUAUGACCCGACGGUAUAUCGGGGGCUUGUUUCAUCCUUCCCCGCCCCUCCCUCCCCUUGCGGUGACCGCGGAAUUUUCGAAAGUUCGUUUACACACAACUGCCGUUGGCGGGAUUUUCGUAAAUUUCUUCCCCGCUUUGUGACCGCCCCUCCAAAAUUCGUCUAUAUUUCAUCGGCACGGGCCGACUUUCCGCGCGCAUGCGCACGCAUCCGCUCGAGCGUCGAAGGGGAAAUUAAGGAUCGGGGAAGAGUCGAUCGAAAUUGGAAAAUUGAAAUCUUUUGAAAUUGAAUUGGAAAUCGUUGUAAAUAUUCCUUUUUUCCUCGCCCGGAGAUCGGAAUGUUAAUAUGAGGAUUUUGAUAUUGAUUCGAAAAGUAAAUCGUAUCGUAUAUUAAUCUUCGAAAUUAAAUUAAGAAAUGGUGCCAAAUUUUACGAAAUUUGUAAAAUAGUUUGUAAAAUUUGUGGAAUAAUUUGUAAAAUUUUUUUCAACAAUUUAGGAGAUCGAAAUCUUGCUACAAGGAUUUUAUAUUGAUUCGAAACAUAAAUCGUAUCGAUCAAUCUCGAAAUCUUCGAAAUUUAAUUAUGAAAUCGUGAAAUCGUGAAAUUUUACAAAAUUUAAAAAAUUUUUUUUCUUCGUUAGGAGACCAAAAUCUUAUAAGAAUUUUAUAUUGAUUCGAAAAAUAAAUCGUAUCGAUCUAUCUCGAAAUUUCCGAAAUUAAAUCAAGAAAUCGUGCCAAAUUUUACAAAAUUUGUAAAAUAAUUUGUAAAAUUUGUAAAAUAAUUUGUAAAAUUUUUUUCAAAAAUUUAGGAGAUUGAAAUCUUGCUAUAAAGAUUUUAUAUUGAUUUGAAAAGUAAAUCGUAUCGAUCUAUCUCGAAAUCUCCGAAAUUUACAAAAAUUUAUAAUACAAAUUUUGUAAAAUAAUUUGUAAAAUUUUUUUCUUCGUUAGGAGAUCGAAACUUGUUACAAGGAUUUUAUAUUGAUUCGAAAAGAAUCGUAUCGAUCUAUCUCGAAAUUUCCGAAAUUGAAUUAAGAAAUUAUGCCAAAUUUUACAAAAUUUGUAAAAUAAUUUGUAAAAUUUUUUCAAAAAUUUAGAAGAUCGAAAUCUUGCUACAAGGAUUUUAUAUUGAUUCGAAAAAUAAAUCGUAUCGAUCAAUCUCGAAAUCUCCGAAAUCGAAUUAUGAAAUCGUGGCAAAUUUUAUAAAAUUUAAAAAAUUCUUUUUCUUCACUAAGAGAUCGAAAUCUUCCCAUAUAUAUACACACACGAGGAUUUUAUGAUAAUUCGAUGAAAAUGAAUCGUAUCGAUCAAUCACGAUUUCGAAGCGACGACACUUCCAAACUAACUCUUAACUCAAUCUUUUCUUCUCGCCAAAUUUAAAACACAAUUUUUCCACUUACUCAAAUCAAAUUUUUCUUCUCUACUUUACUUUAAGAAAAAUCGGGAGAGAAAGAGAGACGAAGGGGAGUAGAUAAAACACAGUAUAUCGACGCGGAAUAAAAAUUCGAGGAUCACGAUACCGACAAUACCGAUCGAGAUGGGAGGAGAGAGAUGAAAGAAACGUAGAGGGCGCUGGUGCGUUCCAGGGCACGCGUUUAACAUUCCUGCUUUGAAUACGUAAUUUUCCAACGGGGGAGAAGGAGGGAACAAUGCACGCGUGGUUUUAUCCCGACUUGUUGACACGCGUCUGCCCCCCCAAAGACGCCAUCGCCACGAGUGAUGAAGACGGCGAUGGCGAAUUUCGACAGGCGAAAAGAAAGAGAGGAAUGGACAAUUUAUCCUCGUCGAUAAUCCAUUCCAUUUCGAACGACUUCUCUCGUCAAUGUUUUCCAGCCAAGAGCAACUUGUUCUGAACGAAUAUCGAACUCGAGAAAUCGAUCCUCCGGAAGCGUUGUGCACGAAGAAUCCGCAGAAUCAUUGAAAAGUAGUGAAGCGAGAUCAGAUCAAUGUAAAAAGAGAGAGAGAGAGAAAAAAAAGGAAGAAAGAGCGUCUAAAUAAGUCCAUUUACGGAGUUCCUCCAAUGGCUAUCCACCACCGCCAAACUUUCCACCAAACUCGGGUUUGGACUCGCUUUGAAUUUUUCUCGAAUCGAACUUCUUUCGAGGCCCUGCCUAAACUAGAUCUACUUUUCUAGAUUCUAUUGGACAGCGAGCGAGCUCUGUGUGCGACUAUUGGAUCUCCCCCCACCUCUCCCCUCCCCUCCCCGUCUAUUCAAGUCUCAAGUGUUUCUAGGAUUGCUCGUGGUGGAAACUCGGGCUAUCGCCGCGGCGGUGAAGAGUCUCUGCCCCUCCCCCUCCCUCUUUUGGAGGCUUUCUUCUCUCGAGAUGUUGUCCACUUUGAGAAUUUUAGAGAAAUUAAGGCGAAAGGAUCGCGCAAGGUUCACGAGGCGCCCCUCUCUCCCCCUCCUCUUCUUCCAAAAAAAUGAGAAAAUGGAGGGAAUCUUGAGAGCCUUGGGAUAAAAAUAUCGAAACUUGUUUUGGAUUUCGAAAGGGGAGGGAGAGAGAGAGAGAAGGAGAGUAAAUGAAAAAUUGAGACGAAAUAAUAGAGGAAAAAGAAUCUUCUCUCUUUCGAAAAAAAAAAAAAUUUGGAAAAGAUAAUACAAAGAAGACCUCAAAAACUGGAGGGAGGGGGACAAGGAAAGAGAACCAAGGAGUUUCUUAAAAAAAAGUGAGGUAGAGAGAGGAGAAUAAUUCUUUAAAAUAUACAAAAAUUGUUCAUAAUAAAAAAUUGUGAACUCUUUUGUAAUCAUUCUAUAAAGAAAUUUGCAAAUAUUUAUUGUAUUUAUUGUGUUUUAAAUUAUUAUAGAAUUAUUUUUUAUGAUAAAAAAUGAGAACUAAAUUAUUCAGAAGCAAUUCCGAUGAGAUAUUUUUAUUUUUAUGAAAGAAAAUAAUGAAACGAAUGAAGGAAGCGCAUAGAUUUGUGAUCCAUUUAUGAGUUCGAGUCUCCAGGUUAAAUCUGUUAAACGACGAAUUACUUCGAAAAAUAUAUCUACGUCUUUUAGAAUUUCAAAUUACGCUUUGCUUCGUCUCGAAAACAAUUCCAAGUUUGUAGAUCUAACCUCAAAAAUCGCAUUUUCCAUUCCUUCUUGUCGAGAUAAUUCAAAAUUCUGUAGAUCUAACCUCAAAAAUCGCACUUUCCAUUCCUUCUUGUCGAGAUAAUUCAAAAUUCUGUAGAUCUAACCUCAAAAAUCGCACUUUCCAUUCCUUCUUGUCGAGAUAAUUCAAAGUCUGUAGACCUAACCUCAAAAAUCAUAUUUUCCAUUCCUUCUUGUCGAGAUAAUUCAAAGUCUGUAGACCUAACCUCAAAAAUCAUAUUUUCUAUUCUUUCAUUUCAAAAUAAUUCAAAGUCUAUAAAUUUAACUUCAAAAAUCAUAUUUUCCAUUCCUUCGUUUCGAAAUAAUUCAAAGUCUGUAGACCUAACCUCAAAAAUCAUAUUUUCUAUUCUUCCAUUUCGAAAUAAUUCAAAGUCUGUAAAUUUAACUUCAAAAAUCAUAUUUUCCAUUCCUUCGUUUCGAAAUAAUUCAAAGUUUGUAGAUCUAACCUCAAAAAUUGUAUUUUCUAUUCCUUCGUUUCGAAAUAAUUCAAAGUCUGUUGAUCUAACCUCAAAAAUCGCAUUUUCCAUUCCUUCUUGUGGAGAUAAUUCAAAAUUCUGUAGACCUAACCUCAAAAAUCGUAUUUUCUAUUCCUUCGUUUCGAAAUAAUUCAAAUCUUAUUAAAAAAAAUCGUAGCUUUUUAUUAUUAUAUAUGUAUAAAAAAAAAAUAUAUAUAUAUAUAUAUAUUAUCAUAGUAUAACAAAAUUAUCUUAUUACGAUCCGAGAUUCUAUUAUUAUUUCCUCGAUCAAUAAUUCAAAUAAUUAUAAAUCUCAUAAUUACGAGCUCACAAUUAUACACCAUCGUAAUAAUUCUGCUUAAACGAAAUAUUUAAAUUAGAUUCUAUUCUUCGCCUUUCUUUACGAAUCCUAUAUUAUUACAACUAACACGAUCUCCGCUAACUAAUUUCCUUCGAACAAACCCUUAUUUACACACACGCAAGAGUAAAAAAAAAAGGAACGGAAGAAAAGGAUAAACAAUCGCCAGGAUGGAAUUUUAUUCAAGGAUCAAAAAAAAAAAAAAAGAA
Apis cerana (Asiatic honeybee) is the source of this 8679-nucleotide long non-coding RNA. RefSeq lists it as uncharacterized. NCBI's taxonomy places the organism in Eukaryota, Metazoa, Arthropoda, Insecta, Hymenoptera, Apidae. The record is from RefSeq and is a predicted model, not a curated record.